Molecule: small RNA, 29 nt
Filed under: Bombyx mori (domestic silkworm)
Lineage: Eukaryota; Metazoa; Arthropoda; Insecta; Lepidoptera; Bombycidae
Description: ovarian small RNA-18356
Source: RNAcentral
UAAAGGCAACUACAAGCAAACAAAGCAAC